Molecule: long non-coding RNA, 911 nt
Filed under: Marmota monax (woodchuck)
Lineage: Eukaryota; Metazoa; Chordata; Mammalia; Rodentia; Sciuridae
Source: RNAcentral
CAGAGAAGUCUCCAAAGUUUUAUAAUAGAUGGUCACAUAUCGUCUUCAGAGAUGACAGUGAUGCUCACAUUGCUGAUUAUCUAUCUCAACUCCUUGAGGCAUGGCUUUUUUCUUAAAAACAAAAAACCAGGGGCUGGGGCUUUAGCUCAGUGGUAGAGCACUUGCCUAGCAAGUGCUAGGUUUGGUUCUCAACACCACAUAUAAAUAAAUAAAGGUCCAUCAACAAACGAAAAAUAAAUAAAUAAAUAGAAACCCAAAGAACUCAAGGAGUGGAAGGAGGAGAGGGAGGGUGGAAGUGUUGGAGAGUGAUAUUGGUUAAAUUUUAUUGUUAUAUUGUGUGCAUGUAUAAAUAUGUAAUAACAAAUCCCUUCACUAUAUACAGCUUUUAUACACCAAUAAAAAUGUAGGGUCAGAACAAGGGGCUGUGGGUGUGUUUCAGUGGACCAUGCACAGGUCCUGGGUUUCAUCCCCAGCACCACAAAAACAAACAGUAACCCAAAGACCAAAUGAGAGACUUAAUGCACGUGCCACUGGCCAUGUGUAAUAGAACUGUACACCUGCACUGGGCUUUGGUCACAGAUUGGGCCCAACACACCCAGAUGCACAGGUGCAGCUAUUUGCUGAGAAGAUGGCAAAUGAAGACCACUUGCAAUAAACCUUUUUUUUUUUUUUUUUUGGUGUACUGAGCAUUGAACCAAGGGGCGUGUUACCAUUGACCACCAUCCCCAAUCUUUUUUUUGUACCAAGGAUUGAACUCAGGAGCACUUAACCACUGAGACACAUCCCCUUUAUAUUUAUUUAGAAAUAGGGUCUCGCUGAGUUGCUGAGCCCCAAUCCUUUUUAUUUUGAGACAGGGUCUUGCUAAGUUGCUGAGGGUCUCACCAAAUUGCUGAGGCUGGCCUCCAACUUGU